CCCUAUGGGGUGCAGCAGUUGCGAAACCUCACCAAUGCACGAAAGUGUGAGUGGGCUAACCCGAGUGCCGUCCGCUGAGGAUGGCUUUUCUCCGCUGUAAGGAGGCGGAGGAAUAAGGAGAGGGCAAGACUGGUGUCAGCCGCCGCGGUAAUACCAGCUCUCCGAGUGGUAGGGAUGAUUAUUGGGCUUAAAGCGUUCGUAGCCGGCUUGGCAAGUCUCUCGUUAAAUCCAGCGACCUAAUCGUUGGGCUGCGGGAGAUACUGUCAGGCUUGGGAGCGGGAGAGGCCGACGGUAUUCUCGGGGUAGGGGUGAAAUCCUAUAAUCCCGGGAGGACCACCAGUGGCGAAGGCUGUCGGCUAGAACGCGUCCGACGGUGAGGGACGAAAGCUGGGGGAGCGAACCGGAUUAGAUACCCGGGUAGUCCCAGCUGUAAACUAUGCGGGCUAGGUGUCGGUGUGGCUACGAGCCACUUCGGUGCCGCAGGGAAGCUCAUAAGCCCGCCGCCUGGGGAGUACGGUCGCAAGGCUGAAACUUAAAGGAAUUGGCGGGGGAGCACCACCAGGGGUGAAGCUUGCGGUUCAAUUGGAGUCAACGCCGGGAACCUUACCGGAGGCGACAGCAGGUUGAAGGCCAGAUUAAAGGUCUUGCUGGACGAGCUGAGAGGAGGUGCAGGCC
This 675-nucleotide ribosomal RNA is filed under the name uncultured crenarchaeote. RNAcentral describes it as "bacterial SSU rRNA". It matches the Rfam family "Archaeal small subunit ribosomal RNA", at positions 321 to 998 of the family's 1478-position model. The record is from RNAcentral. Lineage: Archaea; Thermoproteati; Thermoproteota.